UACGUAGGGUGCAAGCGUUAAUCGGAAUUACUGGGCGUAAAGGGCUCGUAGGUGGCCAACUAAGUCAGACGUGAAAUCCCCAGGCUCAACUUGGGAACUGCGUCUGAUACUGGAUGGCUUGAAUUCGGGAGAGGGAUGCAGAAUUCCAGGUGUAGCGGUGAAAUGCGUAGAUAUCUGGAGGAAUACCGGUGGCGAAGGCGGCAUCCUGGACCGAGAUUGACACUGAUGAGCGAAAGCUAGGGGAGCAAACGGG
This 253-nucleotide ribosomal RNA is filed under the name uncultured bacterium. RNAcentral's name for it is "partial 16S ribosomal RNA". It matches the Rfam family "Bacterial small subunit ribosomal RNA", at positions 524 to 776 of the family's 1533-position model. The record is from RNAcentral.